AGUGUGACGUCAGCUCUGCUCUGAUGCUCAGUCUCCUCCUGCUCGGCUCUCAGCCUCCUUUUGGUUUUUGGCUCUCAGCAGUGAGGAGGCUGAUGUUGGAGCUUCGUCCUGUUUCUGAGACGAGCUGCUCAUCAGCACCGACAAACUUUGAAUCCACUUCACACUGUUUACAUGUGAGCACACUCUGAGCACCCAAAGGACCAUCUUCACCUCCUGCUCGUCAACAUCUGGAUCUUUACACACAUCUAGUGGCCAAAGGAGCCUAUUUGGGUUGUUUGUUGUUGCUCCACCCCGGAAAAUGAAUUACACAUUUUAGCGCACGCGUCACACUCUGCUUGUCACUCACGGCGAGCAGGCAGGGGGGCUUGAGCGGAGUUACGCAUGAAGGUUCGAAGGUUUAUGGAGCUCGCUGUGUCCAAAGAUGAAAGUUUGCACCCUUGGCAAGCGGAGCGAGGCUAUGACAUGUUGAAGGACCCUGUAAACCACCUGACCUGAAGCCCGUUCAUCAGAGCUGCUAGGUGUGGAGGACACGUGGUUAUAUCAACUAACAAAAAUGAUUUUAUUAUUAUAAAUUCAACUGAAACAUAUUUAAUGAGUUAUGAUUCCUUUAGUUUUAACUGAAGUGUUGUGAGUCUUUACGUCACAAACUGAAGGAUAAUGUUCAAUAAAGUGAAUCAUAUAUAUCUUAAA
Labrus bergylta (ballan wrasse) is the source of this 690-nucleotide long non-coding RNA. RefSeq lists it as uncharacterized. Lineage: Eukaryota; Metazoa; Chordata; Actinopteri; Labriformes; Labridae. The record is from RefSeq and is a predicted model, not a curated record.